CAUCUAAUCUCGAAAUACGAACAUUAUCCCUGAACUAUAAGAAAAAUAGUGUAUUGAUGCAAUUGCAACCAAGAAAAGUAGUGUAAAUUAGGGUUAGGGUUCCGAUCAAGGGGUGGGACUAGGCUUAAGGGAGAAAAGAAUUGAAGGGAAGAAGAGAUCAAACUAGAGAGAUGAAAAAACUUUGGCAUCGAUAAGAGGGGGAGCUUGCACAG
Molecule: long non-coding RNA, 212 nt
Filed under: Elaeis guineensis (African oil palm)
Lineage: Eukaryota; Viridiplantae; Streptophyta; Magnoliopsida; Arecales; Arecaceae
Description: long non-coding RNA (EGUI_LNC037107)
Source: RNAcentral